RNAcentral lists this unclassified non-coding RNA (1966 nucleotides) under uncultured fungus. RNAcentral describes it as "sequence contains 18S rRNA gene, ITS1, 5.8S rRNA gene, ITS2, 28S rRNA gene". The stretch from base 860 to 1966 matches the Rfam family "Eukaryotic large subunit ribosomal RNA", at positions 1 to 961 of the family's 3401-position model. The record is from RNAcentral. Lineage: Eukaryota; Fungi.
GGAAGGAUCAUUCAUGUGAAUUGAAACUCUUCAAACCUUUGUGUUAACUAUUAGUUACUUGUGCCCAGGUUCUGUGUUUUUCUUUUGUUGGCUGCGUUUUCUUCCAUCGCACACUAUUUUCAAGGCACUUUAAAAAAAUGGCUAGAGAAUAGGAAAAGGAAUGAUAAAUGCUACCUAUUAAACCUUAACCUUUUUAAACUCAAACCAAAACUUUACCAUAAAAACACCUAAAACUUAUUACAACUUUUAACGAUGGAUCCCUCGGCUCUCACUUCGAUGAAGAACGCAGCGAAUUGCGAUAAGUAAUGUGACUUGCGCACUCUCGUGAAUCAUCAAAAUUUUGAACGCAUAUUGCACCUACUGGUUAAUCCGGUAGGUAUACCUAUUUCAGCGUCAUUUUGACACUCUCACCCUUUGAAAAAAGGGUGGAUUUGAGGCUUUUGUCUGCAAGGACAAUGUCUUUAAAUAUAGGUGUGCUUUUAAUCUAGUCUUCAAAGUUGUUCUUUCUUUGGUGUUGCUUUCAGGCCUUAAGCUCUCUUUCCCUUUCUUUAAACAAGAUGGGGAAAAGGGUAGUUUUAGGCGCCGUUUAGUUGCAAAGCUUGCGAUAAGCCUGUUGUCGAGUUUUAUGCAAGAAGAGAAAGAAAUGCCUUUAGGAUAUAAAGCAAAACGAAGCGAUUUAUUGAUUGUUAAUUUGGUCAAUAUUCCUCGCCUGACUUUUGUGAUUGCUUCUAGAGUGACACUCUUCUUGCUGGGCAAAGUAGGAAUGUCAAUAGUGGAGGACUUUACGGUUUGAGCAGCAAUAGAUUCUAUGGCACCUUAAAAGCUUUCAUAUAGGAGGAAUACAAUUUUUUCAACUAUAUGACCUGAAAUUAGGUAUGAGGACCCGCUGAACUUAAGCAUAUCAAUAAGCGGAGGAAAAGAAAGUAACGACGAUUCCCUUAGUAGCGGCGAGCGAACUGGGAAAAGCUCAACUUUAAAAUCUGGGCAUUUCAUGCUCCGAAUUGUAGUUUGUGGAAACAUUCUCUGGGCUUGGCUGGCCGGUAAAGACCUCUGGAAUGAGGCACCAUAGAGGGUGAUAGUCCCGUUUAUGCUGGCUAGACUUACCUUGUCCUAUACGAGAUGUUUUUGAAGAGUCGGGUUGUUUGGGAAUGCAGCCCAAAAUGGGAGGUAAAUUUCUCCUAAAGCUAAAUAUCAGUGAGAGACCGAUAGCAAACAAGUACCGUGAGGGAAAGGUGAAAAGAACUUUGAAAAGAAAGUUAAAAGUACGUGAAAUCGUUAAAAGGGAAACGUUCCCAGGCAUCAUAACUUGGCCAGAAAUCAGCCAAAGGGUGUUUUCACUCUCUGGUGCACUUUCUGGCGUAUUAAGUGCGUCAACAUCAGUGCUACAGGGUAGGAUACGGGUUGUUUGGAAUGUGGCCUAGUACUUCGGUGCUAGGUGUUAUAGCCAUUCAAUUUCUACUAUUCUUGGUACUGAGGUGUUUUGCAGUGGAGGCCAUUUGGCAAGCACUUGACAAGGCUGUUCACCUGCCUUCAUUACUGUUGUCUUUGUUAUUUUCCAUUACGGGGAGUAGGAAAGCGGCUUUAAUGCUAGGUAGAACGAAGGCCCAAGUGUCACUCUACUAAGGAUGUUGACUAGAUGACUUUGAACGACCCGUCUUGAAACACGGACCAAGGAGUCUACCACACAUGCGAGUGUUUGGGUGUCAAACCCCUACGCGAAAUGAAAGUGAUUUUUGAUGGGAUCCCUUUACUGGGCGCACCAUCACCCGAUCCUAGCUCAUUCAGUGGCUGGAUUUGAGGCGGAGCAUGUCUGAUAGGACCCGAAAGAUGGUGAUCUAUGCCUGAAUAGGGUGAAGCCAGAGGAAACUCUGGUGGAGGCUCGUAGCGAUUCUGACGUGCAAAUCGAUCGUCAAAUUUGGGCAUAGGGGCGAAAGACUAAUCGAACCAUCUAGUAGCUGGUUCCCUC